UUCAAUACCGCGUGUGUGAAGAAGGCCUGAGGGUUGUAAAGCACUUUCAAUAGGAAGGAAUACCUAUCGGCUAAUACCCGGUAGACUGACAUUACCUAUACAAGAAGCACCGGCUAACUCCGUGCCAGCAGCCGCGGUAAUACGGAGGGUGCAAGCGUUAAUCGGAAUUACUGGGCGUAAAGCGUGCGUAGGCGGUUAUUUAAGUCAGAUGUGAAAGCCCUGGGCUUAACCUGGGAACUGCAUUUGAUACUGGGUAACUAGAGUUUAGUAGAGGGGAGUGGAAUUUCAGGUGUAGCGGUGAAAUGCGUAGAGAUCUGAAGGAACACCAGUGGCGAAGGCGGCUCCCUGGACUAAAACUGACGCUGAGGUACGAAAGCGUGGGUAGCAAACAGGAUUAGAUACCCUGGUAGUCCACGCCGUAAACGAUGUCAACUAACUGUUGGGUUCUUUAAGAACUUAGUAGUGGAGCUAACGUAUUAAGUUGACCGCCUGGGGAGUACGGCCGCAAGGCUAAAACUCAAAUGAAUUGACGGGGGCCCGCACAAGCGGUGGAGCAUGUGGUUUAAUUCGAUGCAACGCGAAGAACCUUACCUACCCUUGACAUCCUCGGAACUUGUCAGAGAUGACUUGGUGCCUUCGGGAACCGAG
Molecule: ribosomal RNA, 648 nt
Filed under: uncultured bacterium
Lineage: Bacteria
Description: bacterial SSU rRNA
Rfam family: Bacterial small subunit ribosomal RNA
Source: RNAcentral